UAUUUGGAGAGUUUGAUCCUGGCUCAGAACGAACGCUGGCGGCGUGCUUAACACAUGCAAGUCGAACGAGAAAGUCCGCAAGGAUGAGUACAGUGGCGACCGGGUGCGUAACACGUAGGUAA
Molecule: ribosomal RNA, 122 nt
Filed under: Deltaproteobacteria bacterium RIFCSPLOWO2_12_FULL_38_8
Lineage: Bacteria; Deltaproteobacteria
Description: partial 16S ribosomal RNA
Rfam family: Bacterial small subunit ribosomal RNA
Source: RNAcentral